Molecule: long non-coding RNA, 520 nt
Filed under: Physcomitrium patens
Lineage: Eukaryota; Viridiplantae; Streptophyta; Bryopsida; Funariales; Funariaceae
Description: long non-coding RNA (PPAT_LNC006399)
Source: RNAcentral
AAGUAAAAUGAGUCAUUACAUAAUUAAAUCUUAAAUCAAAUCCUAACUAAAUCUUAAACCCUAAAUCAAAUCCAAACCAAAUCUUAAAUCUUAAUCAAAUCUUUAAUUAAAUCUUAACCAAAUCUUGAACCAAAUCCUAAACUCUAAAUGAAACCCUAACUAAAUCCUAAUCCUAAAUCAAAUUCUAACCAAAUUCUAAAUCCUAAACCAAUCCCUUAUUAAAUCUUAGUAAUUCCUAUAACAGAUUUAAACCUCAAUAAUUAAUAAAUAAAUCAUUGAUCUUAACUCAAAUUUUGCUUAAUUUUUAAAAACUAAGUUGAAAACAAGCACAAAAAGUUUUAAAAGAAUUAAAAUUAUCAAAUAGACGAUAACCUCAAAAAUAUGCUCGGGUAUUGGCUGGUCUCCUUCUCCAACCUUGAUGCCAAUCUCCCAGAGCCAAUAUUUCUCCUUUUCACCAUUUGAUUGAUUUCAAAAUUUUCAUACACAUAGAAAAACAAGUCUUAUAUCCUUUCACUUUAAU